AAAUCGGGCAUUAUUUGGCCGAGAUAUUCAAAAAAAAGGUCGAGUCAGCUGUUACAUACGAUCCUAAUACACCGAAUACCUUGGAAAUCUGCAGCUGUGCCAUUUCAGGGCCGAUCUUGAUGUCCUUUGACCAACAGCUAGUCGUCAUCUCCACAACUCAGAAUAUACAAACAAAGGCGAACGUUUUUAAGCAGCUGGGAAAAGUAUAUAUUUGUUUAUAAACAAACUAUUUGUAUUAACCGAAGCUAUCAAGUGGGCAAAGAUUAUCACUAUUGUCCUUGUGGUUUUCGAGAUUAAAGAAUUCAAGGACUCUAAUCGAUUAUAAAGAUUUCCGCAAAUUCAAAGACGUUCUUUUUGCCAGGAUCGAACUAAAAUGUUUGUAAAUGUUUUUGGUACCUAGUGGACACAUAUAUCCUUGGCUAUUCAGUACCAGGGAUAUAGUCCUAGUGAACCUAAAGGACCUUAUUCUAGCGAAAUUGGCAAGAAUAUGGUCAAAAAAUAUGUAUGCUUUCUCUUUCAGCAAACCUUGUACAUGCAGCUGUUACUUAACAGCCGUCUUUACAGCACUCAUUUUACAUGAGUUACUGCUUAACAUUACUCAUUUUAAAUGAGUAACAUUUUUGCCCCUUACGCGUAUGCAACAAAAUGUUUUACUCGUAGAUUUCGUCGACCUUCUGGGUAUUUCUGUUCGCCUGGUAUUUUAGAAGAAUUUAAGAAAAAUCUUGGCAGCCAGCGGCCGCAAGCAGACAGAUUUUAAAUGACCGUUGAUUUUUGAAUUUGUUGCAAUCCCUUAUCCCUUGGAAGUAAAAAGACGGGAAUUUGUU
Drosophila novamexicana is the source of this 824-nucleotide long non-coding RNA. RefSeq lists it as uncharacterized. The transcript has 4 exons. The record is from RefSeq and is a predicted model, not a curated record. Lineage: Eukaryota; Metazoa; Arthropoda; Insecta; Diptera; Drosophilidae.